Molecule: transfer RNA, 90 nt
Filed under: Alphaproteobacteria bacterium
Lineage: Bacteria; Pseudomonadati; Pseudomonadota; Alphaproteobacteria
Description: tRNA-Ser
Rfam family: tRNA
About the family: Transfer RNA (tRNA) molecules are approximately 80 nucleotides in length. Their secondary structure includes four short double-helical elements and three loops (D, anti-codon, and T loops).
Source: RNAcentral
GGAGAGGUGGCAGAGUGGUUGAAUGCGCCGCACUCGAAAUGCGGUAUAGGUGUAAGCCUAUCGGGGGUUCGAAUCCCCCCCUCUCCGCCA